ACCAGGCUGUUCCAAAACUACCCACCCAGCGGAACGCAGAAACCCAACACUUCAUCUCUCUGCACUGCGCUGGGCCCUGACGAGGAGUCGCUGAGCCUCCCCAGGCAUGGGCCCCGCUCCAGGCCCAGGGCCACCCCGCUAUAAAUAGCCCCUCGGGUUUCAUCUGUUACGGAUCCACAGCCACGUUUGGAGGAGGCCACCACAGCUGCUUCAAACAACUGGAAGCCACAACUGGAGCCAAGGCUUGAGGGCUUCGAACUUCCUCCCAGCCCCUACCAGGACAUAGAUCAAUAAUAGGACUUUUGAUCCAAUUCCCUGUGCACCAAGCAGAACUCUCCCCUAUUGUUGUCACCAAAAUAGUCUGUCCUUUGUUGAAAGGACACCACUAACGGAAAUUCCACAGCGUCACCAAAACAGGGUCCUACUGCUCUUACUACCGCCUGGAUUUUUCCAAAACAAAGUGCGACACAGCACACCAUCCACGAACUCCACUGCACACCAGCAGUCAGAGGAAAACAGCCAUUCCUGCCCUGAAUCCUGGGCCACGGGCCAGAGACAGGAAAACAGCUCAAAAAAACAGGCUUAUUGUCCCAGCGGCAGGCCUAGGACUUCAGCCAUGUCACCUUGAAAGCGGGUCCCUUCACCUGCGGCAGACUGCAGGGAGCCCACCGCUGGGCAGGGGACUGACUCAAUCACCCUGAGGUCAUCCAACCCACAACAGAUGUCUGGGACCUUAAACUUGGGUUUCCUCUCCUCCUUUGCAGUACGCAGGCCAUUCUGGAGCCUGCUUUGCCUUUCAUGCACUCCUUAAACUAGACUAACAACCAAAACACCGCUGGUCUCUCCUCCCACAUCCAGACAGGACACCACCCUUACCCACCCCUGACACACACAUUCAUCCCAGAUCAACACAACUUUCUCCUAAAUAAAACCUCCAGUCCCAAUGAAACAGCCACCUCUGUCUUCCCCAGGACUAAAGUCAUACACACCCACGUGUCAAAAAGUUCUUCCUGAUGUCUAACUUCCC
Myotis daubentonii (Daubenton's bat) is the source of this 1027-nucleotide long non-coding RNA. RefSeq lists it as uncharacterized. NCBI's taxonomy places the organism in Eukaryota, Metazoa, Chordata, Mammalia, Chiroptera, Vespertilionidae. The record is from RefSeq and is a predicted model, not a curated record.